CAGGCCUAACAAUGCAAGUCGGACGGUAACAGGGGGUGCUUGCACCCUGCUGACGAGUGGGCACGGGUGCGCAACGCGUAUAGAACCUACCCUGUACAGGGGGAUAGCCAUGGAAACGUGGAUUAAUACCCCGUAGAGACGAGAAGUGGCAUCGCUUUUGUUUAAAGCUUCGGCGGUACGGGAUGGCUAUGCGUGGGAUUAGUUAGUGGCGAGGUAACGGCUCACCUAGGCAAUGAUGGGUAGGGGCCCUGAGAGGGGAUCCCCCACACUGGUACUGAGACACGGACCAGACUCCUACGGGAGGCGCAGUGAGGAAUAUUGGACAAUGGGCGCAGGCCUGAUCCAGCCAUGCCGGUGCAGGAAGACAGCCCUACGGGGUUGUAAACUGGUUUUAUACGGG
This 400-nucleotide ribosomal RNA is filed under the name uncultured bacterium. RNAcentral describes it as "bacterial SSU rRNA". It matches the Rfam family "Bacterial small subunit ribosomal RNA", at positions 43 to 444 of the family's 1533-position model. The record is from RNAcentral.